RNAcentral lists this long non-coding RNA (438 nucleotides) under Coffea arabica (coffee). Its description in RNAcentral is "long non-coding RNA (CARA_LNC002833)". Lineage: Eukaryota; Viridiplantae; Streptophyta; Magnoliopsida; Gentianales; Rubiaceae. The record is from RNAcentral.
UUAUCUUCAAAAGGAGCUGAGACAGGAAAAUUACCAGAAAUAUCUUUUGGAGAUUCAUGCAGCACAUAAUCAGAUGUCUGCAAAGGCAAGCCUCCAGUUGCAGGAACGUCAACAUUAGUCGGUUUUCUCAUCAUAGAUUCCUGUGUAACUUGGUAUUGACUUGAAGCAAGGACUGGCUGGACUGCAAUAUCAGGGGAUGUUUGCGGAAUGGUACCCACAAGGACCCCAUAAGGAGAUUGAAUACCUCCAGUCACUCCUACCGAACCUUGUGAAACUGGAAUCCUAGGCUGCUCGAUAUUUUCUGGCCUUUGGUGAAUAAUCCUAUCCUUGGCAUAGUAACCCUCUACAUUCUGUGCUAAUCUAUUGCCCUCUGACGGAGGGUUUCCAACUUCAUGAUUUAGAUUAGUCACUAGUUUUGGUUGAGACCCAAUUCCCUGU